GAUGAACGCUGACAGAAUGCUUAACACAUGCAAGUCGAUUCAAGUUACCUUCGGGUAAUGAGGAUGGCGGACGGGUGAGUAACGCGUAAGGAACUUGCCUCUUGGUCUGGGACAACUGUUGGAAACGACGGCUAAUACCGGAUAUUAUGAGAUUCUCGCAUGGGAAACUUAUGAAAGCUAUAUGCGCCAAGAGAGAGCCUUGCGUUCCAUUAGCUAGUUGGUGGGGUAACGGCCCACCAAGGCGACGAUGGAUAGCCGGCCUGAGAGGGUGAACGGCCACAAGGGGACUGAGACACGGCCCUUACUCCUACGGGAGGCAGCAGUGGGGAAUAUUGGACAAUGGACCAAAAGUCUGAUCCAGCAAUUCUGUGUGCACGAUGAAGGUCUUCGGAUUGUAAAGUGCUUUCAGUUGGGAAGAAGCAAGUGACGGUACCAACAGAAGAAGCGACGGCUAAAUACGUGCCAGCAGCCGCGGUAAUACGUAUGUCGCAAGCGUUAUCCGGAUUUAUUGGGCGUAAAGCGCGUCUAGGCGGAAAAAUAAGUCUGAUGUUAAAAUGCGGGGCUCAACUCCGUAUUGCGUUGGAAACUGUUUUUCUAGAGUACUGGAGAGGUGGGCGGANNUACAAGUGUAGAGGUGAAAUUCGUAGANAUUUGUAGGAAUGCCGAUGGAGAAGUCAGCUCACUGGACAGAUACUGACGCUGAAGCGCGAAAGCGUGGGGAGCNAACAGGAUUAGAUACCCUGGUAGUCCACGCCGUAAACGAUGAUCACUAGG
RNAcentral lists this ribosomal RNA (774 nucleotides) under uncultured prokaryote. Its description in RNAcentral is "bacterial SSU rRNA". It matches the Rfam family "Bacterial small subunit ribosomal RNA", at positions 28 to 820 of the family's 1533-position model. The record is from RNAcentral.